This 85-nucleotide transfer RNA is filed under the name Candidatus Staskawiczbacteria bacterium RIFCSPHIGHO2_01_FULL_34_27. Its description in RNAcentral is "tRNA-Leu". It matches the Rfam family "tRNA". From Rfam's summary of the family: Transfer RNA (tRNA) molecules are approximately 80 nucleotides in length. Their secondary structure includes four short double-helical elements and three loops (D, anti-codon, and T loops). RNAcentral also lists the same sequence under 1 other name. Lineage: Bacteria; Candidatus Staskawicziibacteriota. The record is from RNAcentral.
GCCCGAGUGGCGGAACGGUAUACGCACAACACUUAAAAUGUUGCGAGGUUUCCUCAUGUGGGUUCGACUCCCACCUCGGGCACCA